GCGGGAUAGCUCAGUUGGUUAGAGCGUCGGAUUCAUAACCCGGAGGUCUCGAGUUCAAUUCUCGAU
Molecule: transfer RNA, 66 nt
Filed under: Paramuribaculum intestinale
Lineage: Bacteria; Pseudomonadati; Bacteroidota; Bacteroidia; Bacteroidales; Muribaculaceae
Also listed under: 11 other names
Rfam family: tRNA
About the family: Transfer RNA (tRNA) molecules are approximately 80 nucleotides in length.
Source: RNAcentral